CUUCGUUCUACUCAUCCUCGUUGAUUUUGUGAUCGGUUCACUCUUAGAAUGAUGUUAGGAAAUUAAUUUUAGGUUGGUUUGAUUUUAUUCAUGCUAAAGGAUAAAUUAAUUUAUAUAUAUAUGAGUAUUGGUGUAUCAGUUCUGAUUGUUUUUUUUUAAGUUUUUAAUAAUGUAUUUUAUUUUAUUUUUUUUAAGAAAAGAGGACUGAUUAACCGGACUUGUUGUGGGUUGUUGAGACCUGCUAUGACAUAGUUGCAAACAGUUUAAUUAUGAAUUUAAGAGGAGAUUGUAGUCUUUCAGGUGGAAGGAUGAGGGGUAAGGUUGAAGGGGCAGUCGGCUUCGCCGAUGCGGUAGUUGAGGGAUGAUGUGUUUUUAUUUUAUUUUUUAUUUUAUUUUUUAUUUUUUUUCAUUUUAUUUUAUUAUUUUUGGGCUUUGCGAAUUUUCCAGUAAGGACCCAUGUUGUCUGGGGUCAGUUGGCACAUAUACAAGCUGUGUAAGUCUUCUAGCAGGUGAGUGCUUGAUUUUCAAGUUAUGGUAUAUAUAAGUCAUUACUUGAUUAUGGAGUCAAUUAUAGGUUGACUAUUAACAGUGCUUACUUGUAAGGUAACUACUCUAAUGACAUUAAAGUAAUAUAAUGGAAUUGUUAAUUGCAGGUUAGUAAUUAAUUAUCUAUUAAAAAGUUUUCCUUAUCUUGAAAGAAAAUUUAUUAUAGAGGAUAAUGCCAUGUUAAUUGUGUAGGAAAUAAUAAAUGGCUUUGUUCGCGUGUUAAGUUAUUAGCAUAAGACUUUUAAUGGCUUUUAGUUUAUUUAAUUUUUUUUAUAUAUAUUGAUGGUAAUAUGAUAAUUGAUGAUGCAUGUGAUAAUGUAUAUAUCUUUACUUGCAUUAAGUUAAUUGCAUGUUAUGUAUAGAAGUUGUUACCACCAUAUUAAAUAUUUCAAAUAAAUAUUAUUAUUAAUCAUGCAUAUGACAGUAGUAUAUUUAAUUUUUUUUAUAUAUAUUGAUGGUAAUAUGAUAAUUGAUGAUGCAUGUGAUAAUGUAUAUAGCUUUACUUGCAUUAAGUUAAUUGCAUGUUAUGUAUAGAAGUUGUUACCACCAUAUUAAAUAUUUCAAAUAAAUAUUAUUAUUAAUGAUGCAUAUGACGGUAGCUGAGACUUCACUUGUGUUGCAAGUCACUCGUAUGAUACCCAUUGCUGACUUUGAUUAUAUAUCAAUUGUUAUAGUCUAUAAAGUGAUUAUAGUCAUGCAUGUGACUAUAUGUGUAUAUAAACUUAUACAAACUUGAUUAUGAGUGUAUAAUGGAGGACCAUUGUCAGAAUAUGGUCUUAAAAGCACUGUUGUUAGGAUAUGGCUUGCUGAUAAAUAUAUAGGUUGACUAAUAAGUCUAGACUCAUGCGUUUUGUCAUACCAUUGUCAGGAUAUAGUUAUGACCUUAAAUUGUGCUAUUGUCAAGAUAUGACUAUAGUGACUUAUAUACGUAAAUUUUAAUUGGGUACCAUGAUACGAGCUGAGAUCUUGGAAUUGAUGGUUAAGGUUGGCGUAUAUUGCCAGGUCCUCGAUAGUUCUAGACGUAGAGUCAGUUCGUGCUGAACAGAGGCCAGACUUCAUCACUCUUCCGGUGACAUAGACGUAGGACUUCCACUAUGUUUUCGUUAUUAUUUAUUAUUUUUGAGUUAGACAUUUUUUUUUUUUACUUCGUCUUUAGUUGGGAUUUUUUUUUAUUAGGGGUCUACAUGGUAUAGAUUCCCAAGUUGUACUCUGGAGAUUUAUUAUUAUUAUUGAAUUUUAUUAGAGAUUAUGUCAUCAGAGGUUUUGUUUUUUAAUUAUUAAUUUAGUUUUCCCUUCCA
Long non-coding RNA from Cornus florida, 1844 nucleotides. RefSeq lists it as uncharacterized. The record is from RefSeq and is a predicted model, not a curated record. Lineage: Eukaryota; Viridiplantae; Streptophyta; Magnoliopsida; Cornales; Cornaceae. The transcript has 2 exons.